RNAcentral lists this ribosomal RNA (427 nucleotides) under uncultured Bdellovibrio sp. Its description in RNAcentral is "bacterial SSU rRNA". It matches the Rfam family "Bacterial small subunit ribosomal RNA", at positions 355 to 797 of the family's 1533-position model. The record is from RNAcentral. Lineage: Bacteria; Pseudomonadati; Bdellovibrionota; Bdellovibrionia; Bdellovibrionales; Pseudobdellovibrionaceae.
UAGGGAAUAUUGCGCAAUGGGGGAAACCCUGACGCAGCGACGCCGCGUGAGUGAUGAAGGCCUUCGGGUCGUAAAGCUCUGUUAUAUGGGAAUAAGAUCUGAAUGUACCAUGUGAGAAAGGAUCGGCUAACUUCGUGCCAGCAGCCGCGGUAAGACGAGGGAUCCUAGCGUUGCUCGGAAUCAUUGGGCGUAAAGCGGGUGUAGGUGGCUUUGUAAGUCAGGUGUGAAAGCCCAGGGCUCAACCCUGGAAGUGCAUUUGAUACUGCGAAGCUUGAGUGUGGGAGAGGCUACUGGAAUACCUGGUGUAGUGGUGAAAUACGUAGAUAUCAGGUGGAACACCGGAGGCGAAGGCGGGUAGCUGGCCCAACACUGACACUCAGACCCGAAAGCGUGGGGAUCAAACAGGAUUAGAUACCCCAGUAGUCCC